RNAcentral lists this ribosomal RNA (516 nucleotides) under uncultured bacterium. Its description in RNAcentral is "bacterial SSU rRNA". It matches the Rfam family "Bacterial small subunit ribosomal RNA", at positions 32 to 518 of the family's 1533-position model. The record is from RNAcentral.
AACGCUGGCGGCGUGCCUAAUACAUGCAAGUCGAACGGUCUUUCUAUGGAAGCUUGCUUCCACUGAGAAGAUAGUGGCGAACGGGUGAGUAACACGUGGGUAACCUGCCCAUAAGAGGGGGGAUAACAUCCGGAAACGGGUGCUAAUACCGCAUAGUUUUCUUGGAUCGCAUGAUUGAGAAAGGAAAGACGGCCUUUGUGCUGUCGCUUAUGGAUGGACCCGCGGCGUAUUAGUUAGUUGGUGAGGUAACGGCUCACCAAGACGAUGAUACGUAGCCGACCUGAGAGGGUGAUCGGCCACAUUGGGACUGAGACACGGCCCAAACUCCUACGGGAGGCAGCAGUAGGGAAUCUUCCGCAAUGGACGAAAGUCUGACGGAGCAACGCCGCGUGAGUGAAGAAGGGGUUUUCGGAUCGUAAAACUCUGUUGUCAGAGAAGAACAAGUUGGAGAGUAACUGCUCCAGCCUUGACGGUAUCUGACCAGAAAGCCACGGCUAACUACGUGCCAGCAGCCGC